RNAcentral lists this ribosomal RNA (451 nucleotides) under uncultured bacterium. Its description in RNAcentral is "partial 16S ribosomal RNA". It matches the Rfam family "Bacterial small subunit ribosomal RNA", at positions 354 to 796 of the family's 1533-position model. The record is from RNAcentral.
GUGGGGAAUAUUGGACAAUGGGGGGAACCCUGAUCCAGCCAUGCCGCGUGUGUGAAGAAGGCCUUUUGGUUGUAAAGCACUUUAAGCGAGGAGGAGGCUACCGAGAUUAAUACUCUUGGAUAGUGGACGUUACUCGCAGAAUAAGCACCGGCUAACUCUGUGCCAGCAGCCGCGGUAAUACAGAGGGUGCAAGCGUUAAUCGGAUUUACUGGGCGUAAAGCGCGCGUAGGUGGCCAAUUAAGUCAAAUGUGAAAUCCCCGAGCUUAACUUGGGAAUUGCAUUCGAUACUGGUUGGCUAGAGUAUGGGAGAGGAUGGUAGAAUUCCAGGUGUAGCGGUGAAAUGCGUAGAGAUCUGGAGGAAUACCGAUGGCGAAGGCAGCCAUCUGGCCUAAUACUAACACUGAGGUGCGAAAGCAUGGGGAGCAAACAGGAUUAGAAACCCGUGUAGUCC